UCGGUCCCUAUCCGUCGUGGGCGUAGGAAAUUUGAGAGGAGCUGUCCUUAGUACGAGAGGACCGGGAUGGACACACCGCUGGUGUACCAGUUGUCUUGCCAAAGGCAUCGCUGGGUAGCUAUGUGUGGACGGGAUAAGUGCUGAAAGCAUCUAAGCAUGAAGCCCCCCUCAAGAUGAGAUUUCCCAUAGCGCAAGCUAGUAAGAUCCCUGAAAGAUGAUCAGGUUGAUAGGUCAGAGGUGGAAGCACGGUGACGUGUGUAGCUGACUGAUACUAAUCGAUCGAGGACUUAACCAAAA
This 297-nucleotide ribosomal RNA is filed under the name Priestia flexa. RNAcentral's name for it is "Bacillus flexus partial 23S ribosomal RNA". It matches the Rfam family "Bacterial large subunit ribosomal RNA", at positions 2631 to 2925 of the family's 2925-position model. The record is from RNAcentral. Lineage: Bacteria; Bacillati; Bacillota; Bacilli; Caryophanales; Bacillaceae.